Saimiri boliviensis boliviensis (Bolivian squirrel monkey) is the source of this 764-nucleotide non-coding RNA. The record is from RefSeq and is a predicted model, not a curated record. NCBI's taxonomy places the organism in Eukaryota, Metazoa, Chordata, Mammalia, Primates, Cebidae.
AUGGUAAAACGCAAGAUUCAGGCCCUAGAGCAGCAGGCGGAAGAGGCAAAGACCGCGCGCAGGGCCUGCAGCGGCAGCUGGCUACGGGCGCGAGCGAGCGACUCGAGGAAGCUGGAGGUGAUGUGGCUGUCCUCAACCGACGCCUCCAGCUCGUUGAGGAGGAGUUGGAUGGGGCUCGGAACGAGUGGUCACGGCCCUGCAGAAGCUGGAGGAGGCGGGAACGGCUGCAGAUGAGCGUGAGGGAGGAAUGAAGGUGACAGAAGACCGGGCCAUGACGGAUGAAGAGAAGAUGGAGAUUCGGGAGACGCAGCUCCAAGGGGCCAGGCACACUCUGGAAGAAGCUGACCGCAAGUGCAAGGAGGUCGCUCGAAAGCUGGCCAUCCUGGAGGGCAAACUGGCCAGGGAAGAGGAGCGUGUGGAGCUGUACGAACGGAAAUGUGGUGACCUGGCAGAAGAGCUCAAGAAUGUCAUUAACUAUCUGAAAUCUUCGGAGGCUGCAUCUGAAAAGUAUUCUGAGAAGGAGGACAAAUAUGAAGAAAAAAUUAAACUUCUGUCUGGCAAACUGAAGGAGGCUGAGAACCGUGCUAAAUUUGCAGAGAGAAUGGUUGCAAAACUGGAAGAGACAAUUGAUGACCUGGAAGAGAAACUUGACCAGGCCAAAGAAGAGAGCGUGGCCUUCUAUCAGACACUGGCUCAGGCACAAAACGAACUUGACUGUAUGUAACCAAAACGGAAGAGUCUUGUUCCAGUAGAAACUCUGGAGC